This 476-nucleotide ribosomal RNA is filed under the name uncultured bacterium. RNAcentral describes it as "partial 16S ribosomal RNA". It matches the Rfam family "Bacterial small subunit ribosomal RNA", at positions 30 to 506 of the family's 1533-position model. The record is from RNAcentral.
AUUGAACGCUGGCGGCAUGCCUUACACAUGCAAGUCGAACGGUAACAGGUUAAGCUGACGCGUGGCGAACGGGUGAGUGAUACAUCGGAACGUGCCCCGUCGUGGGGGAUAUCCCGGCGAAAGCCGGCUUAAUACCGCAUACGACCUAAGGGUGAAAGGGGGGGAUCGCAAGACCUCUCGCUAUUGGAGCUUCCGCUGUCAGAUUAGCUAGUUUGUGGGUUACAAGCUCACCAAGGCGACGAUCUGUAGCUGGUCUGAGAGGACGACCAGCCACACUGGGACUGAGACACGGCCCAGACUCCUACGGGAGGCAGCAGGGGGGAAUUUUGGACAAUGGGCGCAAGCCUGAUCCAGCCAUGCCGCGUGCGGGAAGAAGGCCUUCGGGUUGUAAACCGCUUUUGUCAGGGAAGAAAUCCUUUGGGUUAAUACCUCGGGGGGAUGACGGUACCUGAAGAAUAAGCACCGGCUAACUACGU